RNA transcript from Manihot esculenta (cassava), 1206 nucleotides. It is a transcript of the gene named phosphoglucan phosphatase LSF2, chloroplastic, with no coding region annotated. The record is from RefSeq and is a predicted model, not a curated record. NCBI's taxonomy places the organism in Eukaryota, Viridiplantae, Streptophyta, Magnoliopsida, Malpighiales, Euphorbiaceae. The transcript is spliced from 6 exons.
GAUUAAAAGGAAAAGCAAUGGCUUUUGCUACUAACUAUAUUUCCCUCUCUUCCGUUUUCUCAUACCCGAAUGAAACUGAAGUGUUCUUCACAAGAAAUAAAUCUACAUGGAAAUUCUUGCUUUCGAAGGAUUGCUUCAAAAUGGGUAGGAUCAAUUGUAAGCUAUCAGAUAGUGGAAUCGAGAAAAAACCCACUGGAAAAGAUGUGUCAUUGAGCUCAACGAACAGGAUGGAAGAGUACAAUACAGCCAUGAAAAGGAUGAUGAGGAACCCAUAUGAGUACCAUCAUGAUCUUGGUAUGAACUACACACUGAUAACCAAUAGUUUGAUUGUGGGUUCCCAGCCUCAGAAAACUGAAGAUAUAGAUCAUCUGAAACACGAAGAAAAUGUGGCCUACAUUCUAAAUUUGCAGCAGGACAAGGACAUUGAGUAUUGGGGUAUUGAUUUGCAGUCUAUAAUAAAAAGAUGUCAAGAACUCGAAAUCCUUCAUAUGAGAAGGCCUGCCACAGAUUUUGAUCCAGACUCCUUGAGAAGAAUGUUACCCAAGGCUGUUUCAUCAUUGGAAUGGGCCAUUUCUGAGGGGAAAGGCAGAGUGUAUGUGCACUGCACAGCUGGACUGGGAAGGGCACCUGCUGUUGCAAUUGCUUACUUGUUCUGGUUUCAGGAAAUGAAUCUGAACACAGCUUAUGAUGAACUAACUUCAAAGCGACCUUGUGGACCUAAUAAAAGAUCAAUACGAGGAGCAACUUACGAUCUUGCCAAGAAUGAUCAAUGGAAGGAGCCGUUUGAUAAUCUUCCAGAACAUGCUUUUGGAGAUAUAGCAGAUUGGGAGAGGAACUUGAUUCAUGAGCGUGUUCGUUCUCUUCGUGGAACCUGAACAUUCAGACUUUCGCUUCAGUUACAAGUGAUCCCUGGCACCAGAAUCCCACAUAGGAAAUACAAUGACGAUAAAUCGUACACAUAGCUUGUACCAACUUCUCUAGCGAGAUUAGCAGCUAAAAACAUGACAAAGCUGCUACGGGGUCUUUUGCGAUGAGAACGGCCUAGGGAAGCAAUAGCAUGUUUACAAUAAACUCUGGAGUCUAUCAAGGAAUCUACACCCAUAACUACUCUGUGCAACCGUUGUAUAUACAAUAAAUACUAUGUACAACAAUUGCAUUGAAAGAGAUAAUAAAGGUGGCACCAAGAUGUGCAAUCAAACAGUCAAA